UCUUCUCUGUGUCCUCCUCAGAUCUGAUGUCCAAGUGGCUGGGGGAGAGUGAAAAGCUGGUCAAGAACCUGUUUGAGCUGGCCAGGCAGCACAAGCCCUCCAUCAUCUUCAUCGAUGAGGUGGAUUCCCUCUGCGGGUCCCGAAAUGAAAAUGAGAGUGAGGCCGCCCGGAGGAUCAAAACGGAGUUCUUGGUCCAGAUGCAGGGGGUGGGGAAUAACAACGAUGGGACUCUGGUUCUUGGAGCCACAAACAUCCCAUGGGUGUUGGAUUCGGCCAUCAGGAGGAGGUGAGUCUUCCCCAGGAGAAGCCAGGGCUGGAGGCUUCCUCCCACCAUGGUCACGGUCCGCCUGCUGCUGGCAGCCCGGGUGCGGCCUGGCCCCUUUUCCCUGGAGUCUUCCCGUCUGCCUGCCAAGCAGAGCCCUUUGUGAGGCUGGCUUGUUGAGGAUGUGCCGCCAGCAUCACUGGCCCAUGAAAUGCGUCCGUUUCACUCAAAUCUUCGUGCCUCCCCUUCCGUGAAUACCAUUCCAUCAUCCGCUGUCAACUCCUGCCGUGUGCUGGGCUCUCUAGGUUUGAAAAGCGAAUUUAUAUCCCCUUGCCGGAGGAAGCUGCCCGCGCCCAGAUGUUCCGGUUGCA
This 633-nucleotide small RNA is filed under the name Pan troglodytes (chimpanzee). RNAcentral's name for it is "retained intron". The record is from RNAcentral. Lineage: Eukaryota; Metazoa; Chordata; Mammalia; Primates; Hominidae.